ACAGACAUGGCAGCGGACGGAGGCCGCUCAGAACAACAGCAGGGUCCCGAGACCCAGGCCCAGUACCAGCCGCGCAGCUCCGGAGCGGGAGCAGAGCGCCGUUCCCAUUUAAGGAUUCCAGAAGCGUCCCCGGAGUGGUGCGAAUGCGAACAAAAGAGCGAGCGCGAGCGGACCGGGCCGCGGGGCCGGGGUCUCCCGCAGGCCCCGCUGAGGCGCGUCGACGGCGGCCUCCCCGGCGCGGCCACCUUCGCCCCAAACUUCGCCGGCCUCCCGCGGCGCACCCGCACACAGCGACCCGCCAACUCACCGGGGUCCCGAGAAACUCAUCCUCCGGCGCUCGGCGCAGGCGGGCACGGACAGCCGCGGGGCGGCGGGGCCCGGCUCGGCCUCCGCCCUCGGCGUGCAGCGGCCCGGGCCCGGUCGCCCCUCGCGCGGCCGUACAGUCCCCGUCUCGCGCGGGCCGACGCGCGGGAGCUCGAGCCUCCCUCCCCGCCCUUCCCUCCGCCCUCCUCCUCCGCGCGGCCGGCCAGCAGAUUCCAAUCUCUGCCGCCUCAGCCCCCGAGGACGCUCGCUAGCGGGGGGAGGGGCGGCGCGUGGGGGAAGGGCGGCCCGGGCGAGCAAGAGGCGCCGGCGCGCGCGCACUGGGAAGGGCCCGCCAGCUCUGCGCGCACCCGCCCCGGGGCGCCGGCCCCGCCCCGGACACGAACCGAGCCGAGAGCUCGGCGGAAGUGCCCGAAGGGCCCGUUGAGUUCGGCGCCCCUCUGCCGGGAAGGAGGACCGGCCGCCGGCACGGGGGCGCCAGGUUGCCGAGGGAAGGGGGGCCACCCCUCAGCGCACGCCGCCGCCACACGCGUGACGGAGGGGCAGCUGGGGCAAGGCUGCGUGAAGUAGACGGUGCGGGCACACCUCUUCUAGAGCCGAAGCUCGCGCUGCACGUGAGAAGCUGCCGGGUUGCUCCGAAGGCACCGAGUCUCCACGGUGCGGGAUCUGUUGCCCGUUUCGUAGUUGUGGUCGCAAAGAAAAAUGUAGCCACACUGCAUUCAUUACUCACCCCCUCCCGUGCCCCCCGCCCGGGUUCUCUCCGGUUCUGGCUCGCCGGGUGGAACGUGGAGGUGCACGCGUUCUCAGGGUCACGUAGCAAAAGCCUGGUUUCGGCCCGGAGGCCCGGCCGCUGGGGUUGCUGUGCUCCGCGGGCCCGCGAAUUCCUUGGGCGUAAGAUAAGGAGCGGCGGGAGCCGGCUGAACUGAAGUCAGCGGACUAUAAAUACGACUCUCAAUCCACCUUUGGCUCAGCCGAGUGACCUCGGAUACCCUCCCGAGUCUCAUUCCAUCCUUUUAGAAAAUGCUAAUAGCUGUCACUACCUCUUUUCUUCCUUUCCCCUCUCAGUCUCCGUGCAAAGUGCCAUUAAAAGUAUUCAGUGGCUUGUGGGUGAAGAAAGAAAAGAUAAUCCCCUUUUAAACCAGUCGUGAAAUACCUAACUUCUUCCACAAGGUCUUGUGGACUCCAAGCUGACCCGGAACUGACUGGAAGAGGAUGACCUUGAACUUCUGACCUCCUGCUACCACUGCCUGAGUGCUGGAUUUACAGGCUGUGCCUCAUGUCCCGGUUUAGAUCAGUGCUGGGGCUCUAUCCCAGGGUUGCCUGUGUGCCAGGCACUCUAUCUGCUAAACUCCAUCCCUAACCUCAGCCCUUUCAUAUUGAAAUCCUGCAGUGUCAGCCUGCCUAGGCUGCGAGUUUCUUUGUCUGCUGUCAGGACUCACCCCGUCCUAUACAGACUGGCCAACCUGUGACUCUGGCUCUUUACUUGGGCGUUCUGUGUUCCUGACUGUUCUUCCCAUCUUAUCAAGAGUGCUUCCCCCAUUUCCUGGGGCUGGGUAUCCUUAUGCCAACUCUUCUCCUAGACUACCACCUGUUGUUAGCUCACUUCUCUGGUUAUCAGGUGCUGCCUAUGGCACUGCGUUUCCUCCCAGCCCUGCUCCCACUCAGCCCAGCACGAAUGGUGUCCUUCCUCAUCCUGCUAUCUAUUCACUGCCCUACCCUCCCUGUACUGAGGACAGUAUGUUAAUGAUCUAUUACACCAGAAUUUUCAACCCGAAGAAAAUACAUAAGGUAUAUGUAUAGAUGUCAUAAAAUGUUAUAUAGAAGAAAUUCAUAUGUAUAUAUGUUCUGGAUAUCUAUGAGUAAUUUUUUCACGGUAAAAAUAUCCUAGCUUGCAACCAAGUGGCCGUGGUACAUAGCCUUUAAUUCCAGCACUCAGAAGGCGGAGUCAGUCAGAUCUCUCAGUUUGAGGGCAGCCU
This is an RNA transcript of Rattus rattus (black rat), 2297 nucleotides long. It is a transcript of the gene named formin-like protein 5, with no coding region annotated. The record is from RefSeq and is a predicted model, not a curated record. NCBI's taxonomy places the organism in Eukaryota, Metazoa, Chordata, Mammalia, Rodentia, Muridae. The transcript is spliced from 3 exons.